Non-coding RNA from Cordylochernes scorpioides, 73 nucleotides. The record is from the annotation of a GenBank genome assembly. Lineage: Eukaryota; Metazoa; Arthropoda; Arachnida; Pseudoscorpiones; Chernetidae.
GCCCGGCUAGCCCAGUCUUUAGAGCAUGAGACUCUUAAUCUCAAGAUUGACAGUUUGAGCCCCACAUUGGCCU